Molecule: unclassified non-coding RNA, 391 nt
Filed under: soil metagenome
Description: partial contains 5.8S ribosomal RNA, internal transcribed spacer 2, and large subunit ribosomal RNA
Rfam family: 5.8S ribosomal RNA (bases 1-122)
Source: RNAcentral
GAUGAAGAACGUAGCGAAAUGCGAUACUUGGUGUGAAUUGCAGAAUCCCGUGAACCAUCGAGUCUUUGAACGCAAGUUGCGCCCGAAGCCACUAGGCCGAGGGCACGCCUGCCUGGGCGUCACACGCCGUUGCCCCCCCAUCUACUCCUUCGGGAUUGCGGGGGGGCGGAUGAUGGCCUCCCGUGCGCCUAGCCGCGCGGUUGGCAUAAAUACCAAGUCCUUGGCGACGCACGCCACGACAAUCGGUGGUUGCGAAACCUCGGUUGCCCGUCGUGUGCGUUCGUCGCGCAUCGAGGGCUCGAAAAAAUGCUCGGCUCCGGCUGGGCUUUCAACGCGACCCCAGGUCAGGCGGGGUUACCCGCUGAAUUUAAGCAUAUCAAUAAGCGGAGGA